UGCAGUCGAACGAGACAAAGGUGCUUGCACCUUUAGAAAGUGGCGAACGGGUGAGUAACGCGUGGGUAACCUGCCCUAUGGAAAGGAAUAGCCUCGGGAAACUGGGAGUAAUGCCUUAUAGUAUAUAGAGGUCGCAUGAUUUUUAUAUGAAACGCUCCGGCGCCAUAGGAUGGACCCGCGUCCCAUUAGCUGGUUGGUGAGAUAACAGCCCACCAAGGCGACGAUGGGUAACCGGUCUGAGAGGGCGAACGGUCACACUGGAACUGAGACACGGUCCAGACUCCUACGGGAGGCAGCAGUGGGGAAUAUUGCGCAAUGGGGGAAACCCUGACGCAGCAAUACCGCGUGAGUGAAGAAGGUUUUCGGAUCGUAAAGCUCUGUUAUUGGGGAAGAAAAAAAGACGGUACCCAAGAAGAAAGUCCCGGCUAACUACGUGCCAGCAGCCGCGGUAAUACGUAGGGGACAAGCGUUGUCCGGAUUUACUGGGCGUAAAGGGCACGCAGGCUGUUUUUUAAGUCAGAUG
Molecule: ribosomal RNA, 523 nt
Filed under: uncultured bacterium
Lineage: Bacteria
Description: bacterial SSU rRNA
Rfam family: Bacterial small subunit ribosomal RNA
Source: RNAcentral